CCUACGGGAGGCAGCAGUGAGGAAUAUUGGUCAAUGGACGAGAGUCUGAACCAGCCAAGUAGCGUGAAGGAUGACUGCCCUAUGGGUUGUAAACUUCUUUUAUAUGGGAAUAAAAUGUUCCACGUGUGGGAUUUUGUAUGUACCCUAUGAAUAAGGAUCGGCUAACUCCGUGCCAGCAGCCGCGGUAAUACGGAGGAUCCGAGCGUUAUCCGGAUUUAUUGGGUUUAAAGGGAGCGUAGAUGGGUUGUUAAGUCAGUUGUGAAAGUUUGCGGCUCAACCGUAAAAUUGCAAUUGAUACUGGCAGUCUUGAGUACAGGUGAGGUAGGCGGAAUUCGUGGUGUAGCGGUGAAAUGCUUAGAUAUCACGAAGAACCCCGAUUGCGAAGGCAGCAAGCUGGCUGGAAACUGACGCUGAGGUGCGAAAGCGUGGGUAGCAAACAGGAUUAGAGACCCCUGUAGUC
Molecule: ribosomal RNA, 460 nt
Filed under: uncultured bacterium
Lineage: Bacteria
Description: partial 16S ribosomal RNA
Rfam family: Bacterial small subunit ribosomal RNA
Source: RNAcentral